CUCGAUUGGCAAUGAGUUCUGUUCUUCUGAGAUUUUGUUUCUAUCUGAAAUCCCUGGUUGCAGAUCUCGCACACGUACCGAUCCGAUUCGAGUAGGGUCUUGGAGGACAGAGACACCACUUCUACAUCCGGAUCUGGUGUGCCUGCAGGUCCAGGUAGCUAUGAGGCACGGGUGGAAGAAAGACACGGGUUCAGCGGUUGCUGGAAUUGAGUUGCGGCGGCGCUGGUAGACGCGGGGGUUGUAGCGACAGGUAGGCCUGGCAAACGGGUCGUGUCAGUCGUGUUCGUGUCGUUUUCGUGUAACACCUGUUAUCUUAACGGGUCGUGUCGUGUCACACCCGUUAUCUUAACGGGUCCUUAACAGGUCGUGUCACUUUACCCAACGGGUAAAGUGACCCGACCCGUUAUGACCCGUUAUGACCCGUUAAGAAAAAUAUAUAUUUUUUCUUAAAUUUGCACAUACCACACCUUGCCACAUAAAUAUUACUUCAAAACAUUAAAACACAUUUGUCGUUUAAGUACUACAUCUACACUAAAAAUAAGAGCCUAAUAAAAAAAUAAUACAUACACUACUAAUCUAUUACAAAUUUUAAAUGUGCAAGGAUAUGCAAAAUGAAACAGUUUUUGUUUUCAAGAUUGUGAAAUCUUUCUCAAAAGUUUAAACCUCAAUUUACAAAAUCCUCGAUUUACAUCGAUCAUCAUGAAAUUGCAUUGGAAUAUUGGCUUGAUCUAUUGCCUUCAAGAGUUAUGUUGAUGAUGUUUUCAGUAAGGUUUUCCACGUCAUAACUAUCUUCUGCAUAAACUAAGCAUAGAAAAACCAACCAUUAAAAAUCAUUCAAAUUAUGAAAAGUUUACCAAAAUAAUUAUGAAAAAAAAUAAAACAAUAGUACUAUACCAUACUUUUAUUAAGUAUAAACAUAAGAUUUUGUGGUAUCCACUAAUGUAAAUAUUUUAAAUUGAAGAUCGAAUUCAAUCAUUGUAUUCAUAUAAGGUCAAGGAGUGUAGUUGUAAAAAAUCAUCAAAAUCGGAGUUAAAUUAACCGUUAAAUCGUGAUUUUUCGUUUAUAACCGUCGAAAAGUUUUGUCCCGUUACGUGCUCUCUGAAUGUUUGUUUUUUGCAAUUUUUGGCGUAUGCGAUCUCGAAAUAUAUACAAACAUGUUUGACGGUUGGAUCUUUGAAACUAGUUUCGUAUAAUGAGUAUCCCAUUAAAACAAUAGAUUCACUAAUACUUGAGAGUUUAUUCAUACUUUUAUUAAGUAUAACAUAAGAUUUUGUGGUUUCCACUAGUGUAAAUAUUUUAAAUUGAAGAUCGAAUUCAAUCAUUGUAUUCAUAUAGGGUCAAGCAGUGUAGUUGUAAAAAAUCAUCAAAAUCGGAGUUAAAAUGACCGUUAAAUCAUGAUUUUUCGUUUAUAACCGUCAAAAAGUUUUGUCCCGUUACUUGAUCUCUGAAUGUUUGUUUUUUGCAAUUUUUGGCGUAUGCAAUCUCGAAGUAUAUAUAAACAUGUUUGACGGUUGGAUCAUUGAAACUAGUUUCGUAGAAUGAGUAUCCCAUCAAAACAAUAGAUUCAUUAAUACUUAAUAGUUUAUUCAUACUUUUAUUAAUUAUAGUAUAAGAUUUUGUGGUAUCCACUAGUGUAAAUAUUUUAAAUUGAAGAUCGAAUUCAAUCAUUGUAUUCAUAUAGGGUCAAGGAGUGUGGUUGUAAAAAAUCAUCAAAAUCGGAGUUAAAGUGACCAUUAAAUCGUGAUUUUUCGUUUAUAACCGUCGAAAAGUUUUGUCCCGUUACUUGAUCUCUGAAUGUUUGUUUUUUGCAAUUUUUGGCGUAUGCAAUCUCGAAGUAUAUAUAAACAUGUUUGACGGUUGGAUCAUUGAAACUAGUUUCGUAGAAUGAGUAUCCCAUCAAAACAAUAGAUUCAUUAAUACUUAAUAGUUUAUUCAUACUUUUAUUAAUUAUAGUAUAAGAUUUUGUGGUAUCCACUAGUGUAAAUAUUUUAAAUUGAAGAUCGAAUUCAAUCAUUGUAUUCAUAUAGGGUUAAGGAGUGUGGUUGUAAAAAACAAUCAAAAUCGGAGUUAAAAUGACCGUUAAAUCGUGAUUUUUCGUUUAUAAUCGUCGAAAAGUUUUGUCCCGUUACUUGAUCUCUGAAUGUUUGUUUUUUGUAAUUUUUGACGUAUGCGAUCUUGAAGUAUAUACAAACAUGUUUGACGGUUGGAUCUUUGAAACUAGUUUCGUAUAAUGAGUAUCCCAUCAAAACAAUAAAUUCACUAAUACGUAAUAGUUUAUUCAUACUUUUAUUAAGUAUAAUAUAAGAUUUUGUGGUUUUCACUAGUGCAAAUAUUUUAAAUUGAAGAUCGAAUUCAAUCAUUGUAUUCAUAUAAGGUCAAGAAGUGUAGCUGCAAAAAAUCAUCAAAAUCAGAGUUAAAAUGACCGUUAAAUCGUGAUUUUUCUUUUUAUAACCGUCGAAAAGUUUUGUCCCGUUAAUUGAUCUCUGAAUGUUUGUUUUUUCUAAUUUUUGACGUAUGCGAUCUCGAAGUAUAUACAAACAUGUUUGACGGUUGGAUCUUUGAAACUAGUUUCGUAGAAUGAGUAUCUCAUUAAAACAAUAGAUUCACUAAUACUUAAUAGUUUAUUCAUACUUUUAUUAAGUAUAACAUAAGAUUUUGUGGUAUCCACUAGUGUAAAUAUUUUAAAUUGAAGAUCGAAUUUAAUCAUUGUAUUCAUAUAAGGUCAAGGACUGUAGUUGUAAAAAAUCAUCAACAUCGGAGUUAAAUUAACCGUUAAAUCGUGAUUUUUCGUUUAUAACCGUCGAAAAGUUUUGUCCCGUUACUUGCUCUCUGAAUGUUUUUUUUUUGCAAUUUUUGGCGUAUGCGAUCUCGAAAUAUAUACAAACAUGUUUGACGGUUGGAUCAUUGAAACUAGUUUCGUAGAAUGAGUAUCCCAUUAAAACAAUAGAUUCACUAAUACUUAAGAGUUUAUUCAUACUUUUAUUAAGUAUAACAUAAGAUUUUGUGGUAUCCACUAGUGUAAAUAUUUUAAAUUGAAGAUCGAAUUUAAUCAUUGUAUUCAUAUAAGGUCAAGGAGUGUAGUUGUAAAAAAUCAUCAAAAUCGGAGUUAAAUUAACCGUUAAAUCGUGAUUUUUCGUUUAUAACCGUCGAAAAGUUUUGUCCCGUUACUUGCUCUCUGAAUGUUUUUUUUUUGCAAUUUUUGGUGUGUGCGAUCUCGAAAUAUAUAAAAACAUGUUUGACGGUUGGAUCAUUGAAACUAGUUUCGUAGAAUGAGUAUUCCAUCAAAACAAUAGAUUCACUAAUACUUAAGAGUUUAUUCAUACUUUUAUUAAGUAUAACAUAAGAUUUUGUGGUAUCCACUAUUUUAAAUUGAAGAUCGAAUUCAAUCAUUGUAUUCAUAUAGGGUCAAGGAGUGUAGUUGUAAAAAAUCAUCAAAAUCGGAGUUAAAAUGACCGUUAAAUCGUGAUUUUUCGUUUAUAACCGUCGAAAAGUUUUGUCCCGUUACUUGAUCUCUGAGUGUUUGUUUUUUGCAAUUUUUGGUGUGUGCGAUCUCGAAAUAUAUAAAAACAUGUUUGACGGUUGGAUCAUUGAAACUAGUUUCGUAGAAUGAGUAUCCCAUCAAAACAAUAGAUUCACUAAUACUUAAUAGUUUAUUCAUACUUUUAUUAAGUAUAAUAUAAGAUUUUGUGGUAUCCACUAGUGUAAAUAUUUUAAAUUGAAGAUCGAAUUCAAUCAUUGUAUUCAUAUAAGGUCAAGGAGUGUAGUUGCAAAAAAUCAUCAAAAUCAGAGUUAAAAUGACCGUUAAAUCGUGAUUUUUCUUUUUAUAACCGUCGAAAAGUUUUGUCCCGUUAAUUGAUCUCUGAAUGUUUGUUUUUUGUAAUUUUUGACGUAUGAGAUCUCGAAGUAUAUACAAACAUGUUUGACGGUUGGAUCUUUGAAACUAGUUUCGUAUAAUGAGUAUCCCAUCAAAACAAUAGAUUCACUAAUACUUAAUAGUUUAUUCAUACUUUUAUUAAGUAUAACAUAAGAUUUUGUGGUAUCCAUUAGUGUAAAUAUUUUAAAUUGAAGAUCGAAUUCAUUACUUGUAUUCAUAUAGGGUCAAGGAGUGUAGUUGUAAAAAAUCAUCAAAAUCGGAGUUAAAAUAACCGUUAAAUCGUGAUUUUUCAUUUAUAACCGUCGAAAACUUUUGUCCCAUUACUUGAUCUCUGAAUGUUUGUUUUUUUGCAAUUUUUGGCGUAUGCGAUCUCGAAGUAUAUACAAACAUGUUUGACGGUUGGAUCAUUGAAACUAGUUUUGUAGAAUGAGCAUCCCAUCAAAACAAUAGAUUCACUAAUACCUAAGAGUUUAUUCAUACUUUUAUUAAGUGUAACAUAAGAUUUUGUGGUAUCCACUUGUGUAAAUAUUUUAAAUUAAAGAUCGAAUUCAAUCAUUGUAUUCAUAUAGGGUAGGCCUGGCAAACGGGUCGUGUCUGUCGUGUUCGUGUCGUUUUCGUGUAACACCUGUUAUCUUAACGGGUCGUGUCGUGUCACACCUGUUAUCUUAACGGGUCCUAACAGGUCGGGUCACUUUACCCAACGGGUAAAGUGACCCGACCCGUUAUAACCCGUUAUGACCCGUUAAGAAAAAUAUAUAUUUUUCUUAAAUUUGCACAUUCCACUCAUUACCACAUAAAUAUUACUUCAAAACAUUAAAACAUAUUUGUCAUUUAAGUACUACAUCUGCACUCGAAAAUAAGAGCCUAAUAAAAAAAACAUUCAUACACUAGUAUAUUACAAAAUAUUAAAUGUGCAAGGAUAUGCAAAAUGAAAGAGUUUUUGUUUUCAAGGUUGUGAAGCCUUUCUCAAAAGUUUAAACCUUGUCAAUGGAACUCAAAGUUUGCAUGUUAUUUCUUUUACAAAAUCCUCAAUUUUCAUCAAUCAUCAUGGGGAAAUUGUAUUGGAACUUUGGCUUGAUCUAUUGUCUUCAAGAGUUAUGUUGAUGAUGUUUUCGGUAAGGUUUUCCACGUCAGAACUCUCUUCCGCAUAAACUAAGUAUAGAAAAACCAAACAUUAAAAACCAUUCAAAUUAUGAGAAGUUUACCAAAAUAAUUAUGAAAAGAAAUAAAACAAUAGUAUUAUACCAUAUAAAAAUAUAUUACCUCCUUUUCCAAAUAGCCAAUCUCGUGUGCACAACAAAGCUUGAACUGUUUCUGGUAACAAUGAACUACGAUACUGAUCUAGUACUCUACCUCCAAUACUAAAUGCAGAUUCUGAUGCAACAGUUGAAAUGGGAAUUGUUAACACAUCUCGUGCUAACUGAGAAAGUAUCGGAUAAUGAAAACGCUCCUUUUGCCACCAAGAAAGGACAUCUAUGUCUACUUUUCUAUCUAUUCUUUUAUCCUCCAAAUACUUUUGCAACUCAUUUUUUUCAAUCGAACUUGAACCAUCGUAAUUAUUAUCAAAAUCCUACAUCAUAAAAAAAACAAAAACGAAAAACGUAAUAAGAAUCAUGCAUCAUAGUACUACUACUACAAAUAUAUAAAGUAAAUAAAAACAAACUUAUGUUACCUCAAAGAGAACAUCUCCAUAUUUUGUUUGACGAUUAGGCAUUGAAUUCACUGGAGUAUUUGAAUUAUCAAGAUGCGAAAGUUUUUCCAAGUACACACCAAAAAGAACAUUCAAUUUGUCAUUAACCUUUGUAAAUUCGACCGAAUUCACACCAUGAAGCUUUGUGUAAGCCCAAUCCACAAAAUGCAAUUUAUAACGAGGGUCUAAGAUGAUUGCAAUUGCCAAAAUCAAGCUGUACUCUGACCAAUACUUCUCAAACUUCAUGUACAUGCAAGUCCCCAUCUUAUUCAUGAAACUUUCAGAGUCAUUCAUGGCUGUUUUAAUUUGAAGUUGGAUUACGAACACCUUAGGGAAGAACAAAUUUGAUGUGGGGUACUUUGUCCCAGAGAAUAAGCAUGUAACCUCAUAAAAGUACCCCAAAUACUUGGAAAUCUUCACUAUUUUAUCCCACUCUUCAGAAGAAGGACAACUACUAAAAUUGGAAUCACUCAACCCUAAAUGAAUCAAAGCAUAUCGAUAGAAAAUUGCACUAUCUAGCAUAAUAUAGGUUGAGUUCCAUCUAGUAGGGACAUCUUGUCUCAAACCUCUCCUACUAUCCAAUAUUCCCACUUGUCUAACACAUUCAUAAAACUUUAGUUUCCUAGCCUCAGAGCCCUUUAUAUACUUGAUGCAUUCACGAAUCUUUAUCACCGAAGAAUCAAUUUCUUUAAGUCCAUCUUGGACUAUCAAAUUCAAAACAUGAGCACAACAACGCACAUGAAAGAACUCACCAUUCAUCACAAGAAGACUUCUAAGAUUCAAUUGAUUCUUCAAAAUGCUAACAAAAAGAAAUAUUUGAAGAAGCAUUAUCCAAAGUAAUAGAAAAUAACUUCUUCUCAAUCCCCCACUCAGUCACCAAUGCAUUAAUUUUCUCAGAUAAUGCAACACCAGUAUGCGGAGGAGGCAUGUGACAAAAACUUAAAAUUCUUUUAUGCAAUUUCCAAUCUUUGUCUACAAAAUGAGCAGUAAGAGCAAGAUACCCAUCAGUGCAUUGUGAGGUCCAUAAGUCUGAUGUCAAACAAAUUCUACCUUCAACUGAGCCUAACAAAUUAUGAAGCUUUUGUUUUUCAUUUUUGAACAUCCUCAACACACAAGCUUUAAUUGUAUUUCUACACGGUAACUUGAUAUCAGGAGAUAUAUAUGCAAACAAAGCCCUAAUUCCCUCAUAUUCUGAAAAACUAAACGGAAGAUUAUGCUUGAUGAUGGCCUCUACCAAUAAGCUUCGGAAUACCACAGGAUCAAAGUUUUGGGGACAUAAUUCAGACAUCGACAAUAAUCCACCAGUCGGUCCAGGGCAUGUUUUCAAAUGUCUAUUCAUAUUACCCGUCCCAUGAUGACUAUCAUCUAUUACCAAUUUCUUACAAUCUUUACAUUGAGCACGACUUUUACCAUCUUCAAAAAUAGUAGUCAAUUUGUUGAAAGUUUUCCAAACAGGAGACCUGAGUGUUCGCUUACCUAAUUUGACCACUCUAGCCUUUUUCUUUACCGGACUUGUAUUUGUAUCUUCUGUAUUCUCACUUUCAUGAUCAGGUUGUAUUCCCAUUGUAACUUCCACCGACCCUCCAUCACUAAGGUUUGUAAAAUCUUGGUCUACAACAUCCAUUGCUUUAAGAAAGAAAAACAAAACUAAGAUUAUCAAUUCUAGAUAAACAUAACUGCAAAUUACCAAACAAUACUAAGCAAUUUGCAUGAAAAUUACAAUCACUAACCAACCCCUACUUAACCAACCAAUAAGAUAACAAAUUCAUCUUCAAAAAAGGGAUCCCAGAACAAACACAUAAAAAUCAACAAACGCAUACAAACACAGAUCAAGGCAACAAGAAAUAUAAAAAAGAAACAUCAGCAUCUACUUCAAACUUUUGGUAUAUUAUAUAUACCAUCAGCAUCUAAAACAGCACCAAGUUUAUGGCACCCUAGGGCUUUAUUUAUAUUUUUUAUAUUCACCACACUAUUUGUUCAAUUCAAUAUUAAUCUUUAUGACAAUGACAUUGACUACAACAUGUAUAAUAUUAAUAUCCCCUAACAUACAAAAUACAAUAUUGGGCAGAUGAGAAGUUCAGAGAAAGAACUUACACGGAAGAGGAUGAAGUUCAGAGAGAGAACCAGGGGAGGGCCGAGAGAAGCAGGGGUCUGUCUGCGGCAGUGAAGAGAAAAGCAGAAGAGGAUAGUCUCCAAAGUCCAACCUAAAUACCUAAUGCAUAAUGGACAGCUGAGAUUAAAUCUCAGCCAAUCUAAUGGCCACCAAUUUUUUAAAUUUAAUUUAAUAUAUAGAUUCACUAACGCUUAAUAAGAUUUUGUGGUAUCCACUUGUGUAAAUAUUUUAAAUUGACGAUCGAAUUCAUCCAUUGUAUUCGUAUAGGGUCAACAAGUGUGGUUGUAAAAAAUCAUCAAAAUCGAAGUUAAAAUAACCGUUAAAUCGUGAUUUUUUGUUUUAUAACCGUCGAAAAGUUUUGUCUCAUUACUUGAUCUCUGAAUGUUUUUUUUUUGUGAUUUUUGGCGUAUGCGAUCUCGAAGCAUAUACAAACAAGUUUGACGGUUUGAUCAUUGAAAUUAGUUUCAUAGAAUUUGUAUCUCAUCAAAACGAUAGAUUCAUUAACACUUAGAGUUUAUUUAUACCUUCAUUAAGUAUAAAAUAAGAUUUUGUGGUAUCCACUUGUGUAAAUAUUUUAAAUUGACGAUCGAAUUCAUUCAUUGUAUUCGUAUAGGGUCAACAAGUGUAGUUGUAAAAAAUCAUCAAAAUCGAAGUUAAAAUAACCGUUAAAUCGUGAUUUUUUGUUUUAUAACCGUCGAAAAGUUUUGUCUCAUUACUUGAUCUCUGAAUGUUUUUUUUUUGUGAUUUUUGGCGUAUGCGAUCUCGAAACAUAUACAAACAAGUUUGACGGUUUGAUCAUUGAAAUUAGUUUCAUAGAAUUUGUAUCUCAUCAAAAUGAUAGAUUCACUAACACUUAGAGUUUAUUUAUACCUUCAUUAAGUAUAAAAUAAGAUUUUGUGGUAUCCACUUGUGUAAAUAUUUUAAAUUAACGAUCGAAUUCAUUCAUUGUAUUCGUAUAGGGUCAACAAGUGUAGUUGUAAAAAAUUAUCAAAAUCGAAGUUAAAAUAACCGUUAAAUUGUGAUUUUUUGUUUUAUAACCGUCGAAAAGUUUUGUCUUGUUACUUGAUCUCUGAAUGUUUGUUUUUUUGUGAUUUUUGGCGUAUGCGAUCUCGAAGCAUAUACAAACAAGAUUGACGGUUGGAUCAUUGAAAUUAGUUUCAUAGAGUUCGUAUCCCAUCAAAACGAUAGAUUCACUAACACUUAGAGUUUAUUUAUACUUUUCAUUAAGUAUAACAUAAGAUUUUGUGGUAUCCACUUGUGUAAAUAUUUUAAAUUGACGAUCGAAUUCAUUCAUUGUAUUCGUAUAGGGUCAACAAGUGUAGUUGUAAAAAAUCAUCAAAAUCGAAGUUAAAAUAACCGUUAAAUCGUGAUUUUUUGUUUUAUAACCGUCGAAAAGUUUUGUCUCAUUACUUGAUCUGUGAAUGUUUGUUUUUUGUGAUUUUUGGCAUAUGCGAUCUCGAAGCAUAUACAAACAAGUUUGACGGUUUGAUCGUUGAAGUUAGUUUCGUGUAUCCCAUCAAGUUCAAUGGUGUGUAUAUUAUAUAUAUAUAUAUAUAUAUAUAUUUUCUUAUAUAUAUAUAUUUAUUUAUUUAUUAUGUAAAUUUAAAUCUAUUUAUUUUGUAAGUAUAAUUAUUAUAGUUUUUUUAGGGGUAUAAAAUAUAAUUUAAAAUUUAAUAUAUAUAUAUAUAUAUAUAUAUAAUUAUUAUAGUUUUAAACUUUUUAGGGGUAUAAAAUUGUUAAAUUAAUAUAUAUAAUUAUUAUAGUAUUUUUUAGGGUUAUAAAAUUAUUAAAUUAAUAUUCUGCUUAUCGUGUAUCGUGUUACCCACGUGUAUACCCGAACCAACCCGUUAUCUUAACAGGUGCUUAUCGGGUUACCCGAUAAUACCCGAUUCGUUAUCGUGUCGACUCAAACACCUGUUAAUUUCCGGUCGUGUCGUGUCGGGUUAUCGGGUCGUGUCAUGAAUUGCCAGGCCUAAUAUAGGGUCAAGGAGUGUGGUUGUAAAAAAUCAUCAAAAUCGGAGUUAAAGUGACCAUUAAAUCGUGAUUUUUCGUUUAUAACCGUCAAAAAGUUUUGUCCCGUUACUUGCUCUAUGAAUGUUUGUUUUUUGCAAAUUUGGCGUAUGCGAUCUCGAAGUAUAUACAAACAUGUUUGACGGUUGGAUCGUUGAAAUUAGUUUCGUAUAAUUCGUAUCCCAUGAAGUUCAAUGGUGUGUGUGUGUGUAUAUAUAUAUUUAUUUAUUAAGUAGAUUUAAAUCUAUUUAUUUUGUAUGUAUAAUUAAUAUAGUUUUUAGGGGUAUAAAAUUUAAUAUAUAUAUAUAUAUAUAAUUAUUAUAGUUAAUAUUUUGGGUAUAAUUAUUAUAGUAUAUAUAAUUAUUAUAAUUAUUAUAGUUAAUUUAAUAUAUAUCUAUAUAAUUAUUAUAGUUUUUAGGGGUAUAAAAUUGUUAAAUUAAUAUAUAUAUAUAUAUAAAUAUAAUUAUUAUAGUAUUUUUUAGGGUUAUAAAUUAUUAAAUUAAUAUUCUGCUUAUCGUGUAUCGUGUUACCCACGUGUAUACCCGAACAAACCCGUUAUCUUAACAGGUGCUUAUCGGGUUACCCGAUAACGACCCGUUUCGUUAUCGUGUCGACUCGAACACCUGUUAAUUUCGUGUCGUGUCGUGUCGGGUUAUCGGGUCGUGUCAGGAAUUGCCAGGCCUAGCGACAGGUAUGUGGACUUGCUCCGGGUGUACGCACCAUAUGCAGUACGUGGGGUUUGGUGGAGUGAGGCAGCCAUGGAUGACGACUUUGGCGUGAAGAGUGUGAGGAUGGGCAACUAGGCUUGUCCGGACCAUUGUUGGCCCAAUAGCAUUGUUGAUGCUGGAGCUUGGUGUUGGGCCGAGACGUAAAUAUAUAUGUUUCCCUUUUUUUUUUUUUUUUUUUUUUUUUUUUUUUUUCUAAAUACAUAAUAACAUAUGUAUUCAUUUUUUUUUUUCGAAGAAACUGUAAUUUAUUUUGUACAAAGAGAAUUGCAAAUUUUCUUAACAAAAUAAAUUUGUAAUAAAAUUGACCUUCUUUAAU
RNAcentral lists this long non-coding RNA (10731 nucleotides) under Malus domestica (apple). RNAcentral describes it as "long non-coding RNA (MDOM_LNC017738)". The record is from RNAcentral. Lineage: Eukaryota; Viridiplantae; Streptophyta; Magnoliopsida; Rosales; Rosaceae.